GUCGGUGGCGUGGGUGACGUCGGCGUGGGGGGUGGGACUUCCUGCUUCGCGCGCCGCUGGGCCAAGGGACAGAGCCCGCUCCUCCAGGCUGGUGGGGCGGUGCGAUGAGGCGGCUUCUGGGCCAUACGUCAGCACGUGGGGUGGCGCCGCACCCCUGAGGAUCCCGGUCCACGCGGAGGAGUGGGGCUUUUCACCGCCGCCGCCGCCGCCGCCGCCCUCGGACCUCUCCCGGGAUACUUCACAUUUCCCUAGGGACGGGAGCUCGAGGGGUUCGUUCGGCCCUCUUCCUCUCGCUGGGCCGACACCCCGCUGUAGGACCGUAACCCUUAGUCCCAAUGCCUCCGUAAGCGGAGUUGAGUGGGUGCCUGUGGUUGGAGCUGUGGAGGUGUCCCCGGUGGCGAGCGCGGCCAGAACUGCGGUCACUUAAGUUUUCCGUGAGCGGGUUGCAAGGAGCGUGCGUGCGUCUGGUAUAGGGAGGACCCCUCUGGAUUGAGGAUCUUAUGACCUACUUUAGAGGAAGGUAUAAUUUGGCCUCCUGAGAUUCUGCCUUAGCAAGAAAGGAGUGGGAAAUACCCUUGGAAAGAAAACUAAAACAGUAAGAAAGCCAAAACUUAUUUUUACAUGGUUGUCAGCACAUUUACCGAUAUGGACACUUUUCCCAAUAAUUUUCCUCCUGGUGGAGACAGUGGAUUGACAGCUUCUCAGUCGGAGUUCCAGAAAAUGUUAAUUGAUGAAAGGUUACGAUGUGAGCAUCAUAAAGCUAAUUAUCAGACACUGAAGGCUGAACACACAAGGUUGCAGAAUGAACAUGUAAAGUUACAAAAUGAACUCAAGCACCUGUUUAAUGAAAAGCAAACUCAGCAGGAAAAACUUCAGCUCCUACUUGAAGAACUAAGAGGAGAAUUAGUAGAGAAAACUAAAGAUUUAGAAGAAAUGAAACUGCAGAUAUUAACUCCACAAAAGUUGGAAUUGCUAAGAGCCCAAAUACAACAAGAAUUAGAAACUCCAAUGAGAGAACGUUUUAGGAAUCUAGAUGAAGAGGUGGAAAAGUAUAGAGCUGUAUAUAAUAAGCUUCGCUAUGAACAUACAUUUCUCAAGUCAGAAUUUGAACACCAGAAGGAAGAGUAUGCACGUAUUUUAGAUGAAGGAAAAAUAAGAUAUGAAUCAGAGAUUGCAAGACUGGAGGAAGAUAAAGAAGAACUACGUAACCAGCUGCUUAAUGUUGAUCUCACAAAAGACAGCAAACGAGUGGAACAACUUGCUCGAGAAAAAGUCUAUUUGUGUCAAAAAUUAAAAGGUUUAGAGGCUGAAGUAGCGGAAUUAAAGGCUGAAAAGGAGAAUUCUGAGGCUCAGGUGGAAAAUGCCCAAAGAAUACAGGUGCGGCAGUUGGCUGAGAUGCAGGCUACAGUCAGAUCCCUGGAGGCUGAAAAACAAUCAGCUAAUUUACGGGCAGAACGCUUGGAAAAAGAGCUACAAUCAAGCAGUGAACAAAAUACCUUUUUAAUUAAUAAAUUGCAUAAAGCUGAACGAGAAAUAAAUACAUUGUCCAGUAAAGUAAAAGAACUUAAACAUUCCAACAAACUGGAAAUAACAGACAUCAAACUGGAGACAGCAAGAGCUAAGAGUGAGCUAGAAAGAGAAAGGAAUAAGAUUCAAAGUGAACUGGAUGGAUUACAGUCAGACAAUGAAAUUCUCAAAGCAGCUGUUGAACAUCACAAAGUGCUCUUAGUAGAAAAGGAUCGUGAAUUAAUACGUAAAGUACAAGCUGCCAAAGAAGAAGGUUAUCAAAAACUUGUGGUAUUACAAGAUGAAAAGUUAGAACUCGAGAACAGAUUAGCAGAUUUGGAGAAAAUGAAAGUGGAACAUGAGGUCUGGAGGCAAUCUGAAAAGGAUCAGUAUGAAGAGAAAUUGCGGGCUUCACAGAUGGCAGAAGAGAUCACCAGGAAGGAGCUUCAGAGUGUUAGGUUAAAACUUCAGCAACAAAUUGUGACUAUUGAAAAUGCAGAGAAGGAAAAAAAUGAAAAUUCUGACCUAAAACAGCAAAUCAGUAGUUUGCAGAUCCAAGUGACUUCACUUGCACAGUCAGAGAAUGACUUGCUGAAUUCAAACCAAAUGCUGAAGGAAAUGGUGGAGAGAUUAAAACAAGAAUGCCGAAAUUUUAGAAGCCAAGCUGAAAAAGUGCAACUAGAAGCUGAAAAGACAUUGGAAGAGAAACAGAUACAGUGGUUGGAAGAAAAGCAUAAGCUUCAUGAGCGUAUCACAGACAGAGAAGAAAAGUACAAUCAAGCUAAGGAGAAACUGCAGCGAGCUGCAAUUGCCCAGAAAAAGAGAAAAUCUCUUCAUGAAAACAAAUUGAAAAGACUACAAGAGAAAGUAGAAGUCUUGGAGGCAAAGAAAGAAGAAUUGGAAACAGAAAAUCAGGUCUUAAAUAGGUCUCUGUCACAUACCAGGUGUUUGCCUUAUGAUUGGGACUAACAGAAAAUGUCACUGGCUUUGGUAGCAAGGAGUGGUGUUAGUUGUUGCUGCUGUACAAGACAGUUGUAGCUAUUGCAUAGUUCUGAAAAUUGUGCCUACAACUUUGAAUCAAAGACAAAAUGUUCCUUUUGAAGACUAUACAAGGCUUCAAAAAAGACUAAAAGAUAUACAGAGAAGACAUAAUGAAUUUCGAAGUCUAAUUUUGGUUCCUAACAUGCCUCCAACAGCAUCUAUCAAUCCUGUUAGCUUUCAGUCAUCAGCCAUGGUUCCAAGCAUGGAACUACCAUUUCCUCCUCAUAUGCAGGAGGAACAACAUCAAAGGGAACUCUCUCUACUUCGCAAAAGACUAGAAGAACUGGAAACAACACAAAGAAAACAACUAGAGGAACUUGGAUCUUCUGGAGAAUGAUGUUCUUGGAGAACAGGCAGAUCAAAAGAGGUGAAGUUGGUGACUCAGUAAAACUUGACAUUUUAACCUGUGGCAUUUAGAUACUUUUUACUGUUUGCCAAAACACUUGAAUGUGCCUCAAGAAAAGGUGCCUACUACAUGCUGUAUUGUAUGACUGUCAGGAUUUUAAGAUUAUACAAGUGAAGCAUUAAAAGAGAAAUUCUCAGAGAUAUUUAGAAUAUUUGACAAUGGUUUGAGAAUGUAAAACAAAAAGGAACUAGUUAGAGUCAAGUUUUAAAAUUUUUACUUUGUUGAAUUUUUUUUUUUUUUGGCAUUUUGAGUGAAAUAUAACUAUCAUUAAUUCUCUCUUCAUCUUUGAGAUGCUUGGCCAUAACAGGGUCCAUACACAUCUUCUGGUUUACUAUAUACAAAAACUGUAGUUGAAAAAAGAUGACAAUUUAAAAGUCAGCCUAAAGAAUGUAAAGGUAUCUAUAUACAAAAGGCUACCUUUUCUAAAAUCUGUGUGCACAUAAUUAAAGAGCUUAAUUUUUUUUUAA
This is an RNA transcript of Pan troglodytes (chimpanzee), 3420 nucleotides long. It is a transcript of the gene named centrosomal protein 83, with no coding region annotated. The record is from RefSeq and is a predicted model, not a curated record. Lineage: Eukaryota; Metazoa; Chordata; Mammalia; Primates; Hominidae. The transcript is spliced from 18 exons.